Molecule: ribosomal RNA, 543 nt
Filed under: uncultured bacterium
Lineage: Bacteria
Description: bacterial SSU rRNA
Rfam family: Bacterial small subunit ribosomal RNA
Source: RNAcentral
AUAGAUACCCGGGUAGUCCAUGCCGUAAACGUUGGGCACUAGGUGUGGGGGACAUUCCACGUUUUCCGCGCCGUAGCUAACGCAUUAAGUGCCCCGCCUGGGGAGUACGGCCGCAAGGCUAAAACUCAAAGGAAUUGACUGGGGCCCGCACAAGCGGCGGAGCAUGCGGAUUAAUUCGAUGCAACGCGAAGAACCUUACCAAGGCUUGACAUGAACCGGAAACGCCUGGAAACAGGUGCCCCACUUGUGGUCGGUUUACAGGUGGUGCAUGGAUGUCGUCAGCUCGUGUCGUGAGAUGUUGGGUUAAGUCCCGCAACGAGCGCAACCCUCGUUCUAUGUUGCCAGCACGUGAUGGUGGGGACUCAUAGGAGACUGCCGGGGUCAACUCGGAGGAAGGUGGGGACGACGUCAAAUCAUCAUGCCCCUUAUGUCUUGGGCUUCACGCAUGCUACAAUGGCCGGUACAAAGGGUUGCGAUACUGUGAGGUGGAGCUAAUCCCAAAAAGCCGGUCUCAGUUCGGAUUGGGGUCUGCAACUCGACCCC